Molecule: ribosomal RNA, 493 nt
Filed under: uncultured bacterium
Lineage: Bacteria
Description: partial 16S ribosomal RNA
Rfam family: Bacterial small subunit ribosomal RNA
Source: RNAcentral
ACGAACGCUGGCGGCGUGCUUCACACAUGCAAGUCGAACGGUGAAGCGCCUUCCUUUUUGGUGGGUGUGGAUGAGUGGCGAACGGGUGAGUAACACGUGAGUAACCUGCCCCCUUCUUCUGGAUAACCGCAUGAAAGUGUGGCUAAUACGGGAUAUUCUGGGUCUGUCGCAUGAUGGGUCUGGGAAAGAUAUUGUUUCGGUGGGGGAUGGGCUCGCGGCCUAUCAGCCUGUUGGUGGGGUGAUGGCCUACCAAGGCGGUGACGGGUAGCCGGCCUGAGAGGGUGGACGGUCACACUGGGACUGAGACACGGCCCAGACUCCUACGGGAGGCAGCAGUGGGGAAUAUUGCACAAUGGGCGCAAGCCUGAUGCAGCGACGCCGCGUGAGGGAUGGAGGCCUUCGGGUUGUGAACCUCUUUCGCCAGUGAAGCAGGCCUGCCUCGUUUGUGGGUGGGUUGACGGUAGCUGGAGAAGAAGCGCCGGCUAACUACGUG